RNAcentral lists this non-coding RNA (400 nucleotides) under Solanum lycopersicum (tomato). RNAcentral's name for it is "Eukaryotic small subunit ribosomal RNA". It matches the Rfam family "Eukaryotic small subunit ribosomal RNA", at positions 1207 to 1823 of the family's 1831-position model. Lineage: Eukaryota; Viridiplantae; Streptophyta; Magnoliopsida; Solanales; Solanaceae. The record is from Rfam by way of RNAcentral.
GGGGAAGAAAAAGGAACUUUGGUAGUGAAAAAAAAAGAAAAAAAACAUUCUCAAUUUGAGAAAAGCCGUACCUACACUGAUGUAUUCAACGAGCUUAUAGCCUUGGCCGACAGGCCCGGGUAAUCUUUGAAAUUUCAUCGUGAUGGGGAUAGAUCAUUGCAAUUUUUGGUCCUCAACGAGGAACUCCUAGUAAGCGCGAGUCAUCAGCUCACGUUGACUACGUCCCUGCCCUUUGCACACACCGCCCGUCGCUCCUACCGAUUGAAUGAUCCGGUGAAAUGUUUGAAUCACAGCGACGUGGGAGGUUCGCUGCCCGCAACGUCGCGAGAAGUCCAUUGAACCUUAUCAUUUAGAGGAAGGAGAAGUCGUAACAAGGUUUCCGUAGGUGAACCUGCGGAAG